This 414-nucleotide ribosomal RNA is filed under the name uncultured Methanosaeta sp. RNAcentral describes it as "bacterial SSU rRNA". It matches the Rfam family "Archaeal small subunit ribosomal RNA", at positions 925 to 1338 of the family's 1478-position model. Lineage: Archaea; Methanobacteriati; Methanobacteriota; Methanomicrobia; Methanotrichales; Methanotrichaceae. The record is from RNAcentral.
UCUUACCGGGACCGACAGCAAUAUGAAGGCCAGGCUGAAGACUUUGCCGGAUUAGCUGAGAGGUGGUGCAUGGCCGUCGUCAGUUCGUACUGUGAAGCAUCCUGUUAAGUCAGGCAACGAGCGAGACCCACGCCCACAGUUGCCAGCGUACUCUCUGGAGUGACGGGUACACUGUGGGACCGCCGCUGCUAAAGCGGAGGAAGGAAUGGGCAACGGUAGGUCAGUAUGCCCCGAAUAUCCCGGGCUACACGCGAGCUACAAUGGUUGGUACAAUGGGUAUCUACCCCGAAAGGGGACGGGAAUCUCCUAAAACCAAUCUUAGUUCGGAUUGAGGGCUGCAACUCGCCCUCAUGAAGCUGGAAUCCGUAGUAAUCGCGUUUCAACAGAACGCGGUGAAUACGUCCCUGCUCCCUU